AAAAUCAAAGCCAAUGUGAAACUUUAUUGCAUAGAAAUACUCAGUAUUUACAAAAUAAACGAAAACUUCAAAAAUUCGUAAAUCAACAUAAAUCUAAGACCCAGAAUUGAAAUCGGAAUAAAUAAAAAAUAUGAAAUUGCAUAAAUUGCGUGAGUCGUGUUCUUGUAAGUUGGAAGAUUGGAGACUCGACCAUUGUGGAAUUGAACUCUCGUACGGAUAUCUAGGGAAUGCAUCACGGCGACGGUGGCAAACUCGUCGACGGCGCCGGCGAUGGCAGUCUCCCACUGCCACUGUGACGCUGACGACAUUUGAAUUGCAUGGCAGAUUAAAAAGCUUGAUGCUUUGGACUACAGCGGCAGCCACAUGGUCUGAAACAACCAGUGUUGCCUUAUGCUGUGCAGCGUGGGUUCUGAAAGCAACAGACUCUUCU
RNAcentral lists this long non-coding RNA (430 nucleotides) under Prunus dulcis (almond). Its description in RNAcentral is "sRNA ncRNA". The record is from RNAcentral. Lineage: Eukaryota; Viridiplantae; Streptophyta; Magnoliopsida; Rosales; Rosaceae.